UGGGGAAUUUUGGACAAUGGGCGAAAGCCUGAUCCAGCAAUGCCGCGUGUGUGAAGAAGGCCUUCGGGUUGUAAAGCACUUUUGUCCGGAAAGAAAUCCUUGGCUCUAAUACAGUCGGGGGAUGACGGUACCGGAAGAAUAAGCACCGGCUAACUACGUGCCAGCAGCCGCGGUAAUACGUAGGGUGCAAGCGUUAAUCGGAAUUACUGGGCGUAAAGCGUGCGCAGGCGGUUUGCUAAGACCGAUGUGAAAUCCCCGGGCUCAACCUGGGAACUGCAUUGGUGACUGGCAGGCUAGAGUAUGGCAGAGGGGGGUAGAAUUCCACGUGUAGCAGUGAAAUGCGUAGAGAUGUGGAGGAAUACCGAUGGCGAAGGCAGCCCCCUGGGCCAAUACUGACGCUCAUGCACGAAAGCGUGGGGAGCAAACAGGAUUAGAUACCCUGGUAGUCCACGCCCUAAACGAUGUCAACUAGUUGUUGGGGAUUCAUUUCCUUAGUAACGUAGCUAACGCGUGAAGUUGACCGCCUGGGGAGUACGGUCGCGAGAUUAAAACUCAAAGGAAUUGACGGGGU
RNAcentral lists this ribosomal RNA (571 nucleotides) under uncultured bacterium. RNAcentral describes it as "partial 16S ribosomal RNA". It matches the Rfam family "Bacterial small subunit ribosomal RNA", at positions 355 to 919 of the family's 1533-position model. The record is from RNAcentral.